UCCGUAGGUGGAUAAUUAAGUCAGAGGUGAAAUCCCACAGCUUAACUGUGGAACUGCCUUUGAUACUGGUUGUCUUGAAUUAUAGUGAAGUAGAUAGAAUGUGUAGUGUAGCGGUGAAAUGCUUAGAUAUUACACAGAAUACCGAUUGCGAAGGCAGUUUACUAACUAUAUAUUGACGCUAAUGGACGAAAGCGUGGGGAGCGAACAGGAUUAGAUACCCUGGUAGUC
RNAcentral lists this ribosomal RNA (228 nucleotides) under uncultured bacterium. RNAcentral's name for it is "partial 16S ribosomal RNA". It matches the Rfam family "Bacterial small subunit ribosomal RNA", at positions 568 to 795 of the family's 1533-position model. The record is from RNAcentral.